AUGACCUACGGGGCGCAGCAGUGGGGGAUAUUGCACAAUGGGGGAAACCCUGAUGCAGCGACGCCGCGUGGGCGAAGAAGUAUUUCGGUAUGUAAAGCCCUAUCAGCAGGGAAGAAGAAAUGACGGUACCUGAGUAAGAAGCCCCGGCUAACUACGUGCCAGCAGCCGCGGUAAUACGUAGGGGGCAAGCGUUAUCCGGAUUUACUGGGUGUAAAGGGAGCGCAGACGGCAGUGCAAGUCUGGAGUGAAAGCCCGGGGCCCAACACCGGAACUGCUAUGGAAACUGUGCGGCUAGAGUAGUGGAG
RNAcentral lists this ribosomal RNA (305 nucleotides) under uncultured bacterium. RNAcentral describes it as "bacterial SSU rRNA". It matches the Rfam family "Bacterial small subunit ribosomal RNA", at positions 334 to 654 of the family's 1533-position model. The record is from RNAcentral.